GUGCUCGCUUUGGCAGCACAGAUACUAAAAUCGGAACAAUACAAAGAAGAUUAGCACAGCCUUUGUGCAAGGGUGACAUGCAAAUUCAUGAAGCAUUCCACAUUUUU
RNAcentral lists this small nuclear RNA (107 nucleotides) under Catagonus wagneri (Chacoan peccary). Lineage: Eukaryota; Metazoa; Chordata; Mammalia; Artiodactyla; Tayassuidae. The record is from RNAcentral.